RNAcentral lists this ribosomal RNA (468 nucleotides) under uncultured bacterium. RNAcentral describes it as "partial 16S ribosomal RNA". It matches the Rfam family "Bacterial small subunit ribosomal RNA", at positions 28 to 507 of the family's 1533-position model. The record is from RNAcentral.
GACGAACGCUGGCGGCGUGCUUAACACAUGCAAGUCGAACGGAAAGGCCCUGCUGUUGUGGGGUGCUCGAGUGGCGAACGGGUGAGUAACACGUGAGUCACCUGCCCUUGACUUUGGGAUAACUUCUGGAAACUAGGGCUAAUACCGGAUAGGAGCUCCUGCUGCAUGGUGGGGGUUGGAAAGUUUCUGCGGUUGGUGAUGGACUCGCGGCUUAUCAGCUUUUUGGUGGGGGAGUGGCUUACCAAGGCUUUGACGGGUAGCCGGCCUGAGAGGGGGAACGGCCACAUUGGGACUGAGAUAGGGACCAGACUCCUACGGGAGGCAGCAGUGGGGAAUAUUGCACAAUGGGGGGAAGUCUGAUGCAGCAACGCCGCGUGCGGGAUGAAGGCCUUCGGGUUGUAAACCGCUUUCGCCUGUGACGAAGCGUGAGUGACGGUAAUGGGUAAAGAAGCACCGGCUAACUACGUG